GGGGAUGUAGCUCAGCGGUACAGCGCCUGCCUGGUAAGCAGGAAGUUGUGAGUUCGAUCUCCUGGUACCA
This 70-nucleotide transfer RNA is filed under the name Cavia porcellus (domestic guinea pig). It matches the Rfam family "tRNA". From Rfam's summary of the family: Transfer RNA (tRNA) molecules are approximately 80 nucleotides in length. Their secondary structure includes four short double-helical elements and three loops (D, anti-codon, and T loops). Lineage: Eukaryota; Metazoa; Chordata; Mammalia; Rodentia; Caviidae. The record is from Rfam by way of RNAcentral.